CUCCUAAAGAGUUUUUGUAGGUGACAAAUCUCAGCUACGCAUUAAAGCAAUCCUAAAUUCAAUGGCAAUCACUUGAUGUUGUAUAGGAAUAAAAAAAUGUUGGAGGAGUAUGGUAUUGGAGCCUGAAGGGGGUUGGAUGUUGAUUUUAUAUGCAAGCUAUGUUGUGCUUCCAAUUGGCUUCUUUAGUCUAAUUUGUAUACAUGUUAUGCUAGCACUAAUAAGAUAUUUUGUAACAGCUCUAUUUCCAAUGUUCCUGCUAAUUUAAGUUGCAGGAUGUUCUGAUAUUGUAUGUAAUAGUCGAAUGGAUUAAUGGAACUUAGUUCUACUGA
Molecule: non-coding RNA, 329 nt
Organism: Cajanus cajan (pigeon pea)
Lineage: Eukaryota; Viridiplantae; Streptophyta; Magnoliopsida; Fabales; Fabaceae
Source: RefSeq, a predicted model, not a curated record